AUUAAACGCUGGCGGCAUGCCUUACACAUGCAAGUCGAACGGCAGCACGGGGGCAACCCUGGUGGCGAGUGGCGGACGGGUGAGUAAAGCAUCGGAACGUAUCCUGGAGUGGGGGAUAACGUAGCGAAAGUUACGCUAAUACCGCAUAUUCUGUGAGCAGGAAAGCAGGGGAUCGCAAGACCUUGCGCUCUGGGAGCGGCCGAUGUCGGAUUAGCUAGUUGGUGGGGUAAAGGCCUACCAAGGCGACGAUCCGUAGCGGGUCUGAGAGGAUGAUCCGCCACACUGGGACUGAGACACGGCCCAGACUCCUACGGGAGGCAGCAGUGGGGAAUUUUGGACAAUGGGCGGAAGCCUGAUCCAGCCAUGCCGCGUGAGUGAAGAAGGCCUCGGUGUAAGCUCUUUCGGUCGGGGAAGGAAAUUAGCACGGGUUAAUACCCUGUGUAGAUGACGGUACCCGAAUAAGAAGCACCGGCUAACUACGUGCCAGCAGCCGCGGUAA
Molecule: ribosomal RNA, 499 nt
Filed under: uncultured bacterium
Lineage: Bacteria
Description: bacterial SSU rRNA
Rfam family: Bacterial small subunit ribosomal RNA
Source: RNAcentral